Molecule: ribosomal RNA, 254 nt
Filed under: uncultured bacterium
Lineage: Bacteria
Description: partial 16S ribosomal RNA
Rfam family: Bacterial small subunit ribosomal RNA
Source: RNAcentral
UACGGGGGGAGCAAGCGUUGUUCGGAUUUACUGGGCGUAAAGGGCGCGUAGGCGGCCAGCACAAGUCAGUUGUGAAAUCUCCGAGCUUAACUCGGAACGGUCAACUGAUACUGUGCGGCUAGAGUGCAGAAGGGGCAACUGGAAUUCUUGGUGUAGCGGUGAAAUGCGUAGAUAUCAAGAGGAACACCUGCGGCGAAGGCGGGUUGCUGGGCUGACACUGACGCUGAGGCGCGAAAGCUAGGGGAGCGAACAGG